Molecule: ribosomal RNA, 465 nt
Filed under: Vreelandella stevensii
Lineage: Bacteria; Pseudomonadati; Pseudomonadota; Gammaproteobacteria; Oceanospirillales; Halomonadaceae
Description: partial 16S ribosomal RNA
Rfam family: Bacterial small subunit ribosomal RNA
Source: RNAcentral
CCUACGGGGGGCAGCAGUGGGGAAUAUUGGACAAUGGGGGCAACCCUGAUCCAGCCAUGCCGCGUGUGUGAAGAAGGCCCUCGGGUUGUAAAGCACUUUCAGUGAGGAAGAACGCCUGGUGGUUAAUACCCAUCAGGAAAGACAUCACUCACAGAAGAAGCCCCGGCUAACUCCGUGCCAGCAGCCGCGGUAAUACGGAGGGUGCGAGCGUUAAUCGGAAUUACUGGGCGUAAAGCGCGCGUAGGUGGCUUGAUAAGCCGGUUGUGAAAGCCCCGGGCUCAACCUGGGAACGGCAUCCGGAACUGUCAAGCUAGAGUGCAGGAGAGGAAGGUAGAAUUCCCGGUGUAGCGGUGAAAUGCGUAGAGAUCGGGAGGAAUACCAGUGGCGAAGGCGGCCUUCUGGACUGACACUGACACUGAGGUGCGAAAGCGUGGGUAGCAAACAGGAUUAGAUACCCCGGUAGUC